CCGUGAAAGUCCGGGGCUCAACUCCGGAUCUNCGGUGGGUACGGGCAGACUAGAGUGAUGUAGGGGAGACUGGAAUUCCUGGUGUANCGGUGAAAUGCACAGAUAUCAGGAGGAACACCGAUGGCGAAGGCAGGUCUCUGGGCAUUAACUGACGCUGAGGAGCGAAAGCAUGGGGAGCGGACAGGAUUAGAUACCCUGGUAGUCCAUNCCGUAAACGUUGGGCACUAGGUGUGGGGGACAUUCCACGUUUUCCGCGCCGUAGCUAACGCAUUAAGUGCCCCGCCUGGGGAGUACGGCCGCAAGGCUAAAACUCAAAGGAAUUGACGGGGGCCCGCACAAGCGGCGGAGCAUGCGGAUUAAUUCGAUGCAACGCGAAGAACCUUACCAAGGCUUGACAUGAACCAGACCGGGCUGGAAACAGUCCUUCCCCUUUGGGGUUGGUUUACAGGUGGUGCAUGGUUGUCGUCAGCUCGUGUCGUGAGAUGUUGGGUUAAGUCCCGCAACGAGCGCAACCCUCGUUCUAUGUUGCCAGCACGUGAUGGUGGGGACUCAUAGGAGACUGCCGGGGUCAACUCGGAGGAAGGUGGGGNCGACGUCAAAUCAUCAUGCCCCUUAUGUCUUGGGCUUCACGCAUNCUACAAUGGCCGGUACAAAGGGUUGCGAUACUGUGAGGUGGAGCUAAUCCCNCAAAGCCGGUCUCAGUUCGGAUUGGGGUCUGCAACUCGACCCCAUGAAGUCGGAGUCGCUAGUAAUCGCAGAUCAGCANCGCUNCGGUGAAUACGUUCCCGG
This 789-nucleotide ribosomal RNA is filed under the name Arthrobacter sp. 'SMCC B0537'. Its description in RNAcentral is "bacterial SSU rRNA". It matches the Rfam family "Bacterial small subunit ribosomal RNA", at positions 592 to 1377 of the family's 1533-position model. The record is from RNAcentral. Lineage: Bacteria; Bacillati; Actinomycetota; Actinomycetes; Micrococcales; Micrococcaceae.